RNAcentral lists this ribosomal RNA (203 nucleotides) under uncultured bacterium. RNAcentral describes it as "partial 16S ribosomal RNA". It matches the Rfam family "Bacterial small subunit ribosomal RNA", at positions 134 to 334 of the family's 1533-position model. The record is from RNAcentral.
UAGUGGGGGAGUAACUAGCCGAAAGGUUAGCUAAUACCGCAUACGAUCUUCGAGGGACAUCUCUUGAUGAUGAAAGGAGCAAUCCGCUUUCGGACGGGACCGCGUCCCAUUAGCUAGAUGGUGGGGUAAUGGCCUACCACGGCAACGAUGGGUAGCUGGUUUGAGAGAGCGACCAGCCACACUGGGACUGAGAAACGGCCCAG